This 1477-nucleotide long non-coding RNA is filed under the name Mytilus galloprovincialis (Mediterranean mussel). The record is from RNAcentral. Lineage: Eukaryota; Metazoa; Mollusca; Bivalvia; Mytilida; Mytilidae.
UGAGUUGAAAGGUGUUUAAAUCAAUAAAAAGACAAGUCAAACACACAAAUAAUAAAAAAAAAACACCUCAAGGUCAAGUUCAAAAAUCAACAGUUUACAGUCAAACAAUCUUCAUGCUCAUUUCCUUCUCGUUGGAUUUGUGUUUUUAGAAAUUAGGCUUGGUAUCUAUGAUGAGUUUAGUGUUAUGUUGUGAUUUAAGGACUGAUGUUCGUCUUUUCGUCGUUUUUCAUAUUUUGCAAUAAAAUUUUGGUUUCUCUUCGACUUAUGAAUUUUGAUUACGCGAUCUGUGACUUCCCUGAAAUUAUUCUUAAGCUGAUACAAUAUUAUUUCAUGAUUGUUACAAAUUAAUGGUAAUGCAUCUGACGCAAAUUGUAUAUCGUGAAAGAAUGUACAAGAAUUUGUUUCUUCCUGCAAAGGGAAAUAUACCAAAUAGGAAGAAGUUUGAACAGAUCAAUCACUCUAAAACGGAAAAGGCUACUUUUAAAAAUUCUUUGUUUUUACUGUUGUUAAUUUCUGUUUUUUUUCUCUUGUCUCAUUGUCAAUCGUACCAAAUGUCAUUUUUGUGUCUCUAGGAAAUAAUUAAAAUCUUUAACUUUAAAAAAAUCCAGAUACAUUAUGUAAGUUGAGCUUGUUGCAACCUGUAUCAGAUGAUUCCAGUUGAAUCGAAAAUAAGAGACGGUUAUUAUUUGAACAAACAAGAGUGCUAGCUUAAAACGUUUUAUAUUUCCUGAUUUCUAUUACCUUAACGGAUAUAACGCUAACUAUGUAAUAAAACUAAACCUUAUAAUCAAAACCUCAUCGUUAGUUUUAUAGUUAUUCUGGAAUAUUAGAACAAACUAAUUCAGUUGGAAGGAAAUGAUUCUGUUUGGCCAACACAUACUUUAAAAACUGCAGCAGCCUAAAAAAAGUAACUGAAGCUGUGGAUGGUUAAGCGAAUAAACGUCAAAGAAUUAAGGUAAUGAAUAGGGGGGGGGGGGGCUGCAAAUUUCAAAUACUUGCAAAUAAAACAAGAUAUCAACAUUGUAGGCAGUGCACAGUAAAAUAAAGUCUUUAUAUUUUUCAUUGAAAAAAUUAUGGCUAAAAAAAACAUUCGUACCUUUGUGCAUAUUUUAAGUUAGUUAAUUAUUUGUUUGAUAAUCUUAAUGGAAGCCUUGUUUACUGACAUAGCGUAUAUUUUUUUAAGUGUGUACAAUUGUAUGUUUAUUACUAAAAAAUACUAGCAGCUGUAUACAUAUAUGUUAUUUACUUAUGAUAACGAGACUGGGAUAAGGAACCAUAACUUGCUGUUGUCCUACUAACAAAUGUACAUAUUUCAAUAAAGUAUGAUAAACUAUAUAAAAAAAAAUAACAUUUAGGUAAUCAUAAUUUUAUUGUAUUUCUUUUAGACUGACAAUGGCUUAAACAAAAUUAAAAUUAAAAACCAAGAUAUUAAGAUGCGUAAUAGUUACAAACUUUUAUUCAUUUUUCGCAUAUAAAC